Manis pentadactyla (Chinese pangolin) is the source of this 3834-nucleotide long non-coding RNA. RefSeq lists it as uncharacterized. Lineage: Eukaryota; Metazoa; Chordata; Mammalia; Pholidota; Manidae. The record is from RefSeq and is a predicted model, not a curated record. The transcript has 5 exons.
UUAAAAAGAUGUCCAAGAUACAGUACCAAGUGUAAAAAACCAGAGUAGUAUGGAUUUGAUAGAAUAUUAUAGCAUUUGUAUCUGUUUUUUAAAAAGGAAAUAUGUGCUUUUGCACAAGCACAGAAAUCUUCUGGAACAGCACACGAGACUGUUUGUUUGGGGAAUGAGAAUAGCUGGUGAAGGGCAAGGUCGAUGUCCUUUUCACUUUACAAUCUUCUGUACCUUCAGGGUUUCUUCUUACAUAAGCAAAAACUAUUUUACAAAUGAUUUGCAUAUGUCUACCUGCUAUACUAUAAAACCAAGAUAAAUAUUUUGAAGUUCAUUUCAGUGAACUAGUUAAUACAUCAAUUUUAGGAGGAAAAGCUGUUUUCAUUAUUUAAAAAGCUAUUUAAUUAUUACCACCAUCUCCAAUCUACAGGAAAAUAUUCCGCACCCCUCAUGGUGGUGCUGAGCAAUCAUUCUUUAACUCUCUUUUGGGAAAGGAAAGCUGAAUUGAUCCCAUAUUUCCUCCAAAUGCCAAGAGCCUCAUGUAGACACCCAGGCUAAUAUUUUUUUCCCCAGGGAUGGCUAGAGAAGGAGAUGGUGUGACAUAUGGUCAAAAGUAUUGGAAAAGCUGGAAUUCCAAUUGGAGUUCUAAGUGGAGAGGGGCGUGAAGUUUAUUUAUUUUAGAUUUGCCAUAGGCAACAUAGAUGAAACAGAAUGUGCCAGGCUGGUCGUCUGGCCAGGGACCUUCACGGAGGUCUCUUCUGGAUUCCUCUCAAGACCCAGCACAGGCUAAGUAUUUGCAUAGUAGGCGCUCCAUCUGUUUCAUUGAUUAAAAAAGUAUAUGAAAAGUACCAGGAAAGAAGCAGUAAAAAUGUGAUCAAAAUGAAAAUUAACAAUGCUAGCCAAAAAUUAAUGCAGCAAUGCACUGACAGUUAUAAAACAAACUGGUUUUUAUAUAUGGUUGUUAGCAUCAGGUGGCUUAGAAACUCACUUCUCAUUAUCCUAACAAAAAGAGUAAUCGAGUUCAAAGAUUUUCAACUAGGCAAUUUUAUCCAACAGCAUUUGCAGUACAGAGCUUUUAAAGUUAAUAAGUAAUAAAGAAGGUUAAUAAUUAGCAAGCAAAUAUGCCUGUGGAGGCAAAUUUGUGACCUGAAACAUCAAUACCACUAAACAGGUGAAUUAAAACAUGAAAAAAGUUUAAAGUGAAAAAUACAAGACUGGACCACUUAGAAAAUUUUCCAUUCCACAUAAAAAGUACUAUCUUCUAGAUGUGUGUAGGAGCAUUUUGGGCACUGACAGAUGGCAGUAUGUGCUUAAUCUCCUUACAAACUGGGUGUCUUUAUAAAGUUAUUCAGAAACUUUGGAGUCUUGAUUCCUCAUCCAACCAUCAGAUUCCUAAGUGUUCUUCUCUCAAAAUAAGUCUUGAAUCCAACCACCUCCACUGCUACCACUCUGAACCCAUCACCUCAGACUUGGAUUACUCCAGCAGUCUUCUAACUGAUAUUCCUGUUUUUGGAGUUGGAAAAACUGGCAACUAGAGGAAUCCUUCUAGAAUGUAAGUCAUGACAAAGCACCCCUCUGCUCAAAACCCUCUAAUGGCCCCUAUCUCAUUCAGUGUAAAAUCCACAGUCCCUAUCAUGGACCACAAGGUCCUCAUGUCUGACCCCCUUACCUCUCUAACUCCAUCUCCUAUGAUCCUCACCCUCACUUACUCUGCUACAGGCACACUGAUCUUUUUGCUCCUCCUAGAACAUACCAGAACAUGCCUAGAAUACACCGGGUGAUCCUGCCUUGGGGUCACUGAACUUACUAUUCCCUCUGCUUGGAUUGCUUUUCCCCCUCUGGAGUCAUAUCUUCCCAUUUUGUUUAUUUCAAAUGUCAUUCAUUAGAAAGGCUUUUCCUAACCACCCUAUAUAAAAAAGCAAACUCCACCAUCUCUCUAUACCCCCUUAUUCUGAUUAUUUUUCAUUUUUAUACUUGACAUAUAAUUAUUUGUUUACUGCCAGUCUCUCCUUAGUUGGGAGGGCGGGACCCACAGCAGGGUCUGGUACAUAACAGGGGUUCUGUAAAAACUCGCCAAAUGAACACAUGUCAACUAUAUUACACACGGGCACCUCAUCAAAAACACUGAAUGAGAAUACUGAAUUCUUUUUUUCCCCCCACAAUGGAAGGUGAGUUUGAGAAAGGGUGGGAUAGUUGUUGUGAGCUCAGGUACUGCAGUUUAAUUUAUUAUGGUCAAUUUAUACUUAAUUUGUUCUUGGAGUAUGAGCUGAUUUUAACUAAAGCAAUUGUUUAUUUUUUAAAUCCUAAUUAUGUAACCUAGAAACAACAUGAUUCAAAAUUAAAACAUUAAAGGAUUGAUUGCAGUAGGACUUCUAGCUGAAUGGUGAAUUUUAUUUAGCUUAGGAAACAAUUUAUUAGUACAAAUACUGAAUUUGUCUCAUAAAAAUGUGUCACUCUCCAAAUGGCAUGAAAGAAUGCUAUUUGAAAUGUAUUUCAAUUUUUCAGGAAAAAAUGUUUCCUAAAAAUAUUAGUAAAAUAGGUUUUUAAAAAAAUAGUAAUUAUCAUCCUUGAAAGAAGAUACCAAUGGAGACUUACAAUACAAUAUAUGCUUCUACACCAGGAAUGGGAUGCAUUAUAAAUGUGCUGCCUUGAAAAUUGCACAACUGGUUGCUGGACAAUUCAGUCCCAUGAUCUUAACUGCUUGAGAGGAAAAAAUUACAAUUUUUAAAAGACUCCAAUAGCAACUACUGGGAGUUGCUUUAAGUGACUAAAUAAACAGUUUAGAAACAUAACACACAAGGAAUUCUCUGAGGAUAGACACAGGACAAAUUCUAUUAUAAAAUCCAAGAGACUAUUCAGCUCUUCUGUAUGCUAGUAUUUCGUUGUAUCAGAAUUAGAUCCUAUAAGCAUGACAUCAUCUGAUCUGGGGAAUAUUUGUGUUCCCAGACAUAGUGUUAACUUUCACGAAAUUUCGGCUGCACAAAACAAAUGGUGUCACCAUUUCCAUCAAUGGAUAGUGAAAUGAGAAAGAUAAGGGCAACAGUACACACACAUAUACAUUCAUAUACACCAGAGAAGUGUAUAUACAUAGAUGUUAGUUUUUUUCUAAAAUUUUGUCUUCCUUAGUUUUUUAAAAAGUAUUAAGAUGGCCUUUCUUAUUAACAAAAUUGGGACUUUUCAAGUGCCUGCAUUCCAAAUACCCAAAUAAAGUUCUCUUGUUAAUGUAGCUUUAAAAAAUGCCUUCUUUUAUGAAGUGAUGGUGAUUAUAGUUGGUUGUUGGUUUUAAAAAUGCUCACAACCCUAUCUCAAUCUGCAAAAAAAAAGUGUGUGUGUGAAAUUUUUCUGGUCCAUGAAAUCCAAAACUCUGAAAAUCACAACUUAUUAAUAAAAAAAUCUUGGCUGGCUUCCUUCUUUUCAGGAGAAAGCUAAGCCUCUUUAGCGUAGAAUUCAAAACCUUGUGUAUUUGGUCUUAAUCUACUGCUCUUGUUUUUCUUAUUUUGAUACGAGCCGUCAAGGGUCUGCCCCCUGCCUGGCCUCACCUCCAUUGGCUAAGAUCACCAGGCACCUUCAGCUUCAGGCCUCCUAGGUCCUCAUUAGACUCCCUAGCAGGGCUCACUAAGGCCCAGUUCUCUGGUUGAUGGCUCUUGAGGAACCAGAUCUACAGAGGACAUGGGAAAGAAGCGACUGGCAAAGAAAAUAAAAUGCCCCACAGCAUCUCUGAAGGCAAGAAGACACCGCCCGGCUGCCCGCGGGCCAGGUGGGCGGGGCGCCGUGCCCUGCAGUGUGCGCCCCGGCUCCGCCGCGCCCCGCCGUCCCGCGAGGGCAGGCAGCAGGGCCGCGCGCGCG